Molecule: transfer RNA, 68 nt
Filed under: Callosciurus prevostii (Prevost's squirrel)
Lineage: Eukaryota; Metazoa; Chordata; Mammalia; Rodentia; Sciuridae
Description: tRNA-Val
Rfam family: tRNA
About the family: Transfer RNA (tRNA) molecules are approximately 80 nucleotides in length. Their secondary structure includes four short double-helical elements and three loops (D, anti-codon, and T loops).
Source: RNAcentral
CAAGGUGUAGCUUAACUAAAGCACCCGGCUUACACCCGGAAGACUUCACAUCUCCAUGAACAUCUUGA